UGCAGUCGAGCGAGAAGCCACCUUCGGGUGGGGGAAAGCGGCAGACGGGUGAGUAACGCGUGGGAACGUACCCUUUGGUUCGGGACAACUCCGGGAAACUGGAGCUAAUACCGGAUAAGCCCUGUGGGGGAAAGAUUUAUCGCCGAAGGAUCGGCCCGCGUCUGAUUAGCUUGUUGGUGGGGUAACGGCCUACCAAGGCUCCGAUCAGUAGCUGGUCUGAGAGGAUGAUCAGCCACACUGGGACUGAGACACGGCCCAGACUCCUACGGGAGGCAGCAGUGGGGAAUAUUGGACAAUGGGCGCAAGCCUGAUCCAGCCAUGCCGCGUGAGUGAUGAAGGCCCUAGGGUUGUAAAGCUCUUUCGGCGGGGACGAUAAUGACGGUACCCGCAGAAGAAGCCCCGGCUAACUUCGUGCCAGCAGCCGCGGUAAUACGAAGGGGGCUAGCGUUGUUCGGAAUUACUGGGCGUAAAGCGCACGUAGGCGGAUCGUUUAGUCGGGGGUGAAAUCCCGAGGCUCAACCUCGGAACUGCCUUCGAUACUGGCGAUCUUGAGACCGAGAGAGGUGAGUGGAACUCCGAGUGUAGAGGUGAAAUUCGUAGAUAUUCGGAAGAACACCAGUGGCGAAGGCGGCUCACUG
This 638-nucleotide ribosomal RNA is filed under the name uncultured bacterium. RNAcentral's name for it is "bacterial SSU rRNA". It matches the Rfam family "Bacterial small subunit ribosomal RNA", at positions 56 to 731 of the family's 1533-position model. The record is from RNAcentral.